GAUGGAUUUCCUACCUGCUGGAUGUGUGGACUCGGAGAACUGCGUCGUUCUUUCAAACUUGGACACACUGAAUUUUUGGGGCAUCUCCUGGGUGCUGCAGAGAGGCUCCGCGCGCUGGCGAGAGGGAGGUUCCCACGCAGACGGACGCCACCCGGGAUGCUACCGACUAAAGCAUAUGGUGAACAUCAGCCACUGCCUCCCAACUGUCACGCAGCCAUUACCGUGCUGCUUGAGUUUUAUGUGACACAAACAAUUCUCAGAGUUUUAUCAAAUUUAAUUUUUUCUAACCUUCAGCUUAGGAAAAAAUAUAGUCAUAAUGCAGAGGUCCAGCUCUCUGCAGAGAAAGGAGGGGGGCAGCAUAAUUCAGAUUUUGGGAGCUGAUAGGCUAAAUUUACCAUUGUGCGUGGUCAAGCUGCUAUUGAUGCUUGAGAGUUUUCAAUCGCUGUUAAUUGACUGGGGAAAAAAGAUAAUGUGUUUGAUCGAUCAGCAUGGACAAAUUUCAUUUAGGGGAUCAAUAACAGUUUAUACUUGACAGAGCAGAGGGACCACAUUUAUUUUUCCCUUUGAUUGAAUAAAUGUUUUCAAUGAGACUGCA
Molecule: long non-coding RNA, 595 nt
Filed under: Struthio camelus australis
Lineage: Eukaryota; Metazoa; Chordata; Aves; Struthioniformes; Struthionidae
Description: lncRNA (ENSSCUG00000003289.1)
Source: RNAcentral